GAUGAACGCUGGCGGCGUGCCUAAUACAUGCAAGUCGAACGAACAGACGCGGAUCUUGCUCGUCGGACGUGAGCGGCGGGCGGGUGAGUAACACGUGUAUAACCUACCUAUCAUACUGGGAUAACUUCGGGAAACGGGAGCUAAUACCGGAUAAUAUAUUGAACCGCAUGGUGCAAGAGUGAAAGACGGUUUUGGUGGCGCUUAUAGAUGGAUCCUCGCCGCAUUAGCGAGUUGGUAAGGUAACGGCUUACCAAGGCGACGAUGCGUAGCCGACCUGAGAGGGUGAUCGGGCACACUGUCACUGAGACACGGUCCAGCGUCCUACGGGAGGCAGCAGUAGGGAAUCUUCCGAAAUGGGCGAAGGCCUGACGGAGCAACGCCGCGUGAGUGAUGAAGGUCUUCGGAUCGUCAAGCUCUGUUAUUAGGGAAGAAAAAAUGUGUAAGUAACUAUGCACGUCUUGACGGUACCUAAUCAGAAAGCCCCGGCUAACUACGUG
Molecule: ribosomal RNA, 497 nt
Filed under: uncultured bacterium
Lineage: Bacteria
Description: partial 16S ribosomal RNA
Rfam family: Bacterial small subunit ribosomal RNA
Source: RNAcentral